CCUACGGGUGGCAGCAGUAGGGAAUUUUCCACAAUGGACGAAAGUCUGAUGGAGCAACGCCGCGUGCAGGAUGAAUGCCUUCGGGUUGUAAACUGCUUUUAUAUGUGACGAUUAUGACGGUAGCAUAUGAAUAAGGAUCGGCUAAUUCCGUGCCAGCAGCCGCGGUCAUACGGAAGAUCCAAGCGUUAUCCGGAAUUACUGGGCGUAAAGAGUUGCGUAGGUGGCAUAGUAAGCAGAUAGUGAAAUCCUGGGGCUCAACCCCUUACACAUUGUCUGAACUGCUAAGCUAGAGGGCGAGAGAGGUAGCUGGAAUUCCUAGUGUAGGAGUGAAAUCCGUAGAUAUUAGGAGGAACACCGAUGGCGUAGGCAGGCUACUGGCUCGUCCCUGACACUAAGGCACGAAAGCGUGGGGAGCGACCGGGAUUAGAUACCCUGGUAGU
This 440-nucleotide ribosomal RNA is filed under the name uncultured bacterium. RNAcentral's name for it is "bacterial SSU rRNA". It matches the Rfam family "Bacterial small subunit ribosomal RNA", at positions 338 to 794 of the family's 1533-position model. The record is from RNAcentral.